CGUAGGGCGCAAGCGUUAUCCGGAAUUAUUGGGCGUAAAGAGCUCGUAGGCGGUUUGUCGCGUCUGCCGUGAAAGUCCGGGCUUAACCCCGGAUCUGCGGUGGGUACGGGCAGACUAGAGUGAUGUAGGGGAGACUGGAAUUCCUGGUGUAGCGGUGAAAUGCGCAGAUAUCAGGAGGAACACCGAUGGCGAAGGCAGGUCUCUGGGCAUUAACUGACGCUGAGGAGCGAAAGCAUGGGAGCGAACAGGAUU
Molecule: ribosomal RNA, 252 nt
Filed under: uncultured bacterium
Lineage: Bacteria
Description: partial 16S ribosomal RNA
Rfam family: Bacterial small subunit ribosomal RNA
Source: RNAcentral